GGAGGAAAAGAAACCAACUGGGAUUCCCUGAGUAACGGCGAGCGAAAAGGGAACAGUCCAGCGCCGAAUCCCGCACUGGAGACGGUGCCGGGAAAUGUGGCGUUUAGGAGUGAGCGUGCCGGAGGAUGUGCUCUGCAGCAAGUCCCCCUGACCGGGGCUCUUUUCCAUAGCGGGUGCGAGACCCAUAGCUGCUAGGCCUCUUUCGGAUGCGAUCUCCUUGGAGUCGGGUUGCUUGGGAGUGCAGCCCUAAGUGGGUGGUAAACUCCACCUAAGACUAAAUACGACCGUGAGACCGAUAGCGAACAAGUACCGUGAGGGAAAGUUGCAAAGAACUUUGAAGAGAGAGUUCAACAGUACGUGAAACUGCUCAGAGGUAAACGGAUGGGCCCUCGAAAUCCUGUGGCGGGAGGAUUCAGUUGGAUGAUGCGGGUGCAGGAUGCGUGCUGGCUUUGAAUGACGAUCUCCUUGUAGGAGACGGCCGCUGUGCACAGUGCCCGCGUCGGACGACGCAUUUGCUUCCCGUCCGAAGGACGCCGCAACCGGUUGGGAGACGGCCUUAAAGGUAGCCGCUGGCAGGUGACUGACGGUGCCGCGAUUCGUCGUGGCUCCGAUAGCGUUAUAGCCUGGCAUGCCGGAUGGCUCGUAACCCGACCGAGGUAUCGCAAAGGCCCACCAUGGGCAUUGAAUCGUCUCCUCUGUGAAAUGAUUUCGGACGCAUGAAUGGCGACAGCGGCUCGAAGGCCUUGAGGGCGCACGGCACCGAAACCGUGGCCCACGAUGGUCUCGCCCACGAUGGUUGCCCGCGACGUCCGUUGGAGGUUGGCGGUUGGCGGCGAGUAGAUCGGUCACCCAUCCGACCCGUCUUGAAACACGGACCAAGGAGUCUAACAUGUGUGCGAGUCAGUGGGACUCGAAUAAGCCCAGAGGCGAAAUGAAAGCAAAGACCGCGGAGAUCUCCCGGUCGAGUCGUGAUCCCUGUUCCUCGUGAACGGGGCGCAACGGCGACCCGUCCCGUCCGAUUCAUUCGGUGGGGCGGAGUUUGAGCACACACGUUGGGACCCGAAAGAUGGUGAACUAUACCUGGACAGGACGAAGCCAGAGGAAACUCUGGUGGAGGUCCGCAGCGGUUCUGACGUGCAAAUCGAUCGUCAGAUCCGGGUCUAGGGGCGAAAGACUAAUCGAACCAUCUAGUAGCUGGUUCCCUCCGAAGUUUCCCUCAGGAUAGCUGGCGCUCGGAGAAUUCAGUCUCAUCUGGUAAAGCGAAUGAUUAGAGGCCUUGGGGACGAAACGACCUCAACCUAUUCUCAAACUUUAAAUGGGUGAGAAGGCCGCCUUGCUUGAUUGAUGAAGGCAGGUCCUUGUGGAUGAGAGUGCCCAGUGGGCCACUUUUGGUAAGCAGAACUGGCGCUGUGGGAUGAACCAAACGACGGGUUAAGGCAUCCGAUGCGAGACGCUCAUGAGAUCCCAUGAAAGGUGUUGGUUGCUCUAGACAGCAGGACGGUGGCCAUGGAAGUCGGAAUCCGCUAAGGAGUGUGUAACAACUCACCUGCCGAAGCAACUAGCCCUGAAAAUGGAUGACGCUCCAGCGUCGAGCCUAUACCCGUCCGCUGCUGGCAGAACUCCCUUGAGCAAGGAGGUUUACGUCGCAGUGAGUAGGAGGGUCGCGGGGGAGAGCGUUGAAGGUGCCGGGCGUGAGCCCGCCUGGAGCCUCCCUCGGUGCAGAUCUUGGUGGUAGUAGCAAAUACUCAAGUGAGAACCUUGAGGACUGAAGUUGGAGAAGGGUUCCAUGUGAACAGCAGUUGAACAUGGGUCAGUCGGCCCUAAGGGAUCGGAGAAAUCCGUUCCGAAGCGGGACAUUGGAAAAUACUGUGCUUCUAUAGCUGAUAUAUAGAUAGCUUGUCCCGCUGCUGACCGAAAGGGAAUGGGGUUAAUAUUCCCCAACCCGGACACGGAGAUAGAGGUCUCUCGCAGACCUCAAAUGCGGUAACGCAAUCGAACUCGGAGACGUCGGCGGAGGACCCGGGGAAGAGUUGUCUUUUCUUUGUAAGGAUUCGUGUCCCUGGAAUCGGAUCAUCCGGAGAUAGGGACGCUGUUUCCGUAAAAGCUCCGCGGCUCUUGCGGAGUCCGGUGCGCCUCUGCCGGCCCUUGAAAAUCCGAGGGAGAGAGUAUGAUUUUCGUGCCGGCCCGUACCCAUAUCCGCAGCAGGUCUCCAAGGUGAACAGCCUCUAGUCGAUA
RNAcentral lists this ribosomal RNA (2235 nucleotides) under Microdipoena sp. ATOL_ARAGH000003. RNAcentral describes it as "eukaryotic LSU rRNA". It matches the Rfam family "Eukaryotic large subunit ribosomal RNA", at positions 52 to 1892 of the family's 3401-position model. Lineage: Eukaryota; Metazoa; Arthropoda; Arachnida; Araneae; Mysmenidae. The record is from RNAcentral.